Molecule: long non-coding RNA, 251 nt
Filed under: Mytilus galloprovincialis (Mediterranean mussel)
Lineage: Eukaryota; Metazoa; Mollusca; Bivalvia; Mytilida; Mytilidae
Source: RNAcentral
GUUUUUAUUGAUUGCACUUAUAAUUUUGCAAGUUUAUUUUUAUCGUUAAUUUUCAAUAUAAUUAUGUUGAAAUAGAGCUACAUUUUCGUCUGCUAAGAUUAGUUAAAGAUAACAGUAUUUUCCAAAGAAUUUAUUACUGUGUAGAAAGUUAAUGGUUAAUCUUAACGGUAUUCCUAAAUUUUAUGACACCUUCAGUAGGUCAGUCUAGUCAUUUAGAGUUCAAGUAAAAAUCGUCUGCACGUGCAGCUGUG